CCUGAGAAACCUAAAAGUUCGAAAAGAGAGAUUCAACGUCAGUAUGUAUUGUAUUCACGUGAGUAGUGAUGUAUGCACAUUUUCAUGUAAUUUUAUUGCAAUACUAUUGCCGGCGUGCACUUCUCUCUUAGUAGGACGUCCCGACCCGUUGAGUCUUGGCCUACGGCACAGACUUUGAUAUCUCGGUAUAAAGACCUCUGAUGUAUUCCUGGCUAAAGUAUUCGACGGGGUGUUGAGCCGCAUUAUGCGUCCGGCCUGUCGCAAGUUUUUGAUAUACCGUAUUACUAUAGACUAAGUGCUAUGUAUAUGGACUGUGCUUUAGGACUGGCUUAUUUCAUCUGUCAGGGACGCUUAGGCUUUGGGUACUCUCAGGACCCGUCUUGAAACACGGACCAAGGAGUCUAACAUGUACGCGAGUCAUUGGGUAUAUAUUUUCCAAACCUAAAGGCGUAAUGAAAGUAAAGGUUGAA
RNAcentral lists this ribosomal RNA (470 nucleotides) under Leuroagathis paulbakeri. Its description in RNAcentral is "eukaryotic LSU rRNA". It matches the Rfam family "Eukaryotic large subunit ribosomal RNA", at positions 386 to 736 of the family's 3401-position model. The record is from RNAcentral. Lineage: Eukaryota; Metazoa; Arthropoda; Insecta; Hymenoptera; Braconidae.